CUACGGUGGCAGCAGUGAGGAAUAUUGCACAAUGGGGGGAACCCCGAUGCAGCAACGCCGCGUGGAGGAUGACGCAUUUCGGUGUGUAAACUCCUUUUAUAUGUCAAGAAAAUGACGGUAGCAUAUGAAUAAGCACCGGCUAACUCCGUGCCAGCAGCCGCGGUAAUACGGAGGGUGCAAGCGUUACUCGGAAUCACUGGGCGUAAAGGACGCGUAGGCGGGUUGGAAAGUCAGGUGUGAAAUCCUACAGCUUAACUGUAGAACUGCACUUGAAACUUCUAAUCUAGAGUAUGGGAGGGGGAGAUGGAAUUAGUGGUGUAGGGGUAAAAUCCGUAGAUAUCACUAGGAAUACCUAAAGCGAAGGCGAUCUCCUGGAACAUUACUGACGCUAAGGCGUGAAAGCGUGGGGAGCAAACAGGAUUAGAUACCCCUGUAGUC
This 438-nucleotide ribosomal RNA is filed under the name uncultured bacterium. Its description in RNAcentral is "partial 16S ribosomal RNA". It matches the Rfam family "Bacterial small subunit ribosomal RNA", at positions 339 to 795 of the family's 1533-position model. The record is from RNAcentral.